AAAAAAAAGGGGGAGAACACAAAAAAACAACAACAGAAAGGAGGCGGAGGGGUUUUUUUCUUUGGAUCCAAAAUAAACUAUUUUUUUCAUAACACCUUCCUCUAUUUCCUCCAUCCAACAGCCCUACAGCCGGUGCAACCUCAACAUACCUCCAUUCAACCUGAGACCAACUGUUCCCUCACUUCCUAUUCACCGGAGCCAAACAACUUCAUCUUCAACAUACCGCCAUCACACCCUGUUUAUCUCUUCCUCUCGCCUGCUACCUCCUUCCAAAACAACAACUCCAUCUAA
This is a non-coding RNA of Vicia faba (fava bean), 291 nucleotides long. The record is from the annotation of a GenBank genome assembly. Lineage: Eukaryota; Viridiplantae; Streptophyta; Magnoliopsida; Fabales; Fabaceae.